Non-coding RNA from Aegilops tauschii subsp. strangulata, 2790 nucleotides. The record is from RefSeq and is a predicted model, not a curated record. NCBI's taxonomy places the organism in Eukaryota, Viridiplantae, Streptophyta, Magnoliopsida, Poales, Poaceae.
CGCGUUGAUCCGGCAGGGGCUCUUUUUCAUCUCUCACCGCAGCCUCCUCUCUCCUUUUGCCUUUCCACUUCCCGAAGCUAGGGUUGCCGCCGCCGCCGCCGCCGCCGCCCCAUCUCUCCUCCGGCACCGGGCACCGAAGGAAGGCCGGCUUCUCCCACAUAUCUUCUCCUCUUGAUUGCUACCUCAUAGCAAGGCGUGGCCCAGCUCUUCACCAUGGCGCCGACAGCAAGGCAGGCAGCGCCGCGAGCUCUCGUCACGAGGAAGCCGCAGGAGGACGAGGUCAAGCCGGACUAGGUCGAUGCGCCCCCCUGCCAUACCUCCUUCUUCUCUUGCGGGUUGGUUGCUGGCUUGCUGCUGUUUCUGGUGCCGUUCGUGUCCGACCGGAAGGGCGUAGCUUCUGUCUGUGUCGCUGCUCCUGAGCUCACGCAUCCACAUCGGAGGCUGCCGCUUGCAAAACUGCUCUAAGCCUCUAACCCGAGGAGCUCGUUGUCACCAUCGUGUAGAGGAGCACCAGGCUGCAUCAUAAGACGCCUCAACAGCGACCGACGAAGUCGUCGAGCCGAGACAUGCAAGCCUUUUGAGUGAGUUCCUCCAUAUUUCAUCAAUUCAGGUUGGUUCAUACACAUCACAGGUGUUGAUUUGCAAGUAGAUGGUUGAGUAAUAAAAGGAACAUACUGAUUAACUUGUUCGCUGCUUCCUCUGCUGCUGCCCAGCUAAUGAUGUUCACUUUUGCUUUGGCAAAAUGUUUGGCCGUGGAAGGAAAGCCUUUUGGUGUGGUGAGCUACAGAAUUAAUGGUAGCCCCUGGCAAAUGUUGAAGUUUUUUCAUGUAACAAGACCACAACUUUGAAAAUUAAGAUUGCUGCAAGCUAACAGGCCAUACCAUCGUUCUCCAUGAUAUAUGGCUUGGUAUUCAGGAAAAAGUAGAUGUCCUUCGAACUCGUGUCCUUUUUCUCUGAAUAUAUGAAGCUGAAGUCUAAACAUUUAGACCUUCUCAAUGUUGGCUUCGUGGUGUUGGGGGUGUGGCAUCGUCCUCGAAGUGAAGGCGCAGCGACCUUGAGUCGAUCGCAACCUCAAGUGCUUUCUCACAUGCUUGUCUUGAUUGGUUGUUCCCCUACUUGUAAUGACAUCUUUCAUUCUUAACUAAUGCUUCCGAGUCGUUAACAUAUGAUAAUUUCAUAUAGUUUGGUCAGCAAAAUCGAUUUCGCCUACUGAACUAUGUUAAUGAUGGCGUACGUGACCCACUGAACCAGACACGCCAAUGUGCAUAAUAACAAGACUGAGAUCAGGGACCCGACCAGUCACCCUAAUGUGCAUAGAAAAGAUUGAAGGGUGAUGCCACAAGAACCGAUGAGGAAAUCAAACUGAGGGUAUAUACGGUUAUCCUAUUGAGAUCCAAGCUCUAUUGUACAUGAAAUUAAGAUGUGCUCUUCAAAUGCUUAAGCCGGAUGGUGAAGGGGAGGACUUCAUAGAAAAGCCCAUUUACGAGAAAUAAUGAGAUACAACCCAAUACGAAGAGGCUGCCUACUCGGAUGAAUGGAAACGAAUUAACACAGCACGCACGUCACGCACGGGAGUGCGGGAGUUGCCGAGUCGGAGUUGCUCAGAUGCGUUCGCCGCCUGGCUCCCUGACGUGACAAGCCGCCGACGCCUUCCGCCCUGCGCUGCACCUGCAUGACGUGCCUCCGGCGGUCGCCUCGAUCCGCGGCCUGCAGGCCGGCUGGCCGUCCGUCAGAUUAGCACAAGGAAGACGUUGCGCCAUUGAUCGAUCAAGGUAAGUGGUAAACCCUAAGAUGCGUAGGUUCAGUUUCUUUCUUCUAAUUUCCAAUUAUUGUUAUAUUCCGAUUUUCAUGUUAGAGAGGCAAUCGUAUCAAAUAUCCAUGUAUUGAAAUUUUAAUAUAUGGAUUGGUAAUCGUAUCAUAUAUGGAACGCUGAUUGAGUUAGCUUAGCUUAAUAAUUUUGUGUAAAUAAGUAUGUGGAAUAGACUAAAUCUUUGAAUGUUAAACUUUACUGUAUGUCAAAAUUUUGAACGCUCAUAUAUUUGACAUUGACAAGGAAGCUAAUGAAGAGAUUCUUUGGAAAAUCAACAACCCACAAUAUGCCUAAAGAGGUGACAAUUAAACGCUUCCUUGGGAAAAAUCGCCGUGGGAUGAAACAGAAGGAGCUUGAAGACUACAAAUUAAUUCAAAACGGUCAGGAACAGCAUAUUGAUAUUUCUCAAGUUAUUGCGCCUUAAAUGGCCAAAGCUUUCAUCCCCUUUACAGAAGAAAACAAAUAACUUGAUGCUAACAUGAGUUAGUUUGCUAUCUGUGGAAGACGAAUGUGUGUGAACCCGUGUGAAAAUGCUUAGAGAAGUAUCUAGGCGCUCCAGCAAUACAAGUGCGCACAGAGGUUCACUACACAGAAGACUACCUCCAGAAGUGCAUUAACCAAGAUCAUGAUGCAUUGCCAAUCAAGCUUGCAGAUGGCGAGGUCCCCGUCGUCUCUCGCCUCAUCACAGGGAAUGACAGGAUGACCACCAUCACAACCAACUGGACAGAGUUCCACUGUCAUGCAAACAUGCAUGAGGGUGACAUCUGCGCCUUCUACUUCAGACGCAAGGCAAGGUGUACCGCCAAUGAUCGCGAUUAUCUCCUAUAAAUAUAAUCCAUGUAUCGUGCUCAUGUUUAUUGAACCUUCUACCUCUGUUCCUUGCCUUACUAUUGAACCACCUUAAUUAUCUAGAUAUCAACAUGCUACCUAUGUGUUGUAUGUGUUUAUCACCGGGAUUAAUUUCCUUUCUUCCACUGUCA